CGAAGGUCCCAAGCGUUAUCCGGAUUUAUUGGGUUUAAAGGGUGCGUAGGCGGAUUAUUAAGUCAGUGGUGAAAGCCUUCAGCUUAACUGAAGAACUGCCAUUGAUACUGAUGAUCUUGAGUAUGAUUGAGGCGGGCGGAAUGUGUCAUGUAGCGGUGAAAUGCUUAGAUAUGACACAGAACACCGAUUGCGAAGGCAGCUCGCUAAGCCAUAACUGACGCUGAUGCACGAAAGCGUGGGGAGCAAACAGGAUUAGAUACCCUGGUAGUCCACGCCCUAAACGAUGAUCACUCGAUGUGUGCGAUAUACUGUACGCGUCUGAGCGAAAGCAUUAAGUGAUCCACCUGGGGAGUACGACCGCAAGGUUG
This 368-nucleotide ribosomal RNA is filed under the name uncultured organism. RNAcentral describes it as "bacterial SSU rRNA". It matches the Rfam family "Bacterial small subunit ribosomal RNA", at positions 526 to 896 of the family's 1533-position model. The record is from RNAcentral.